Molecule: small RNA, 629 nt
Filed under: Amanita rimosa
Lineage: Eukaryota; Fungi; Basidiomycota; Agaricomycetes; Agaricales; Amanitaceae
Description: eukaryotic LSU rRNA
Rfam family: 5.8S ribosomal RNA (bases 221-374)
Source: RNAcentral
CAUUAAGAAAUGAACCUUGAGGCUGUUGCUGGCUCAUAUAUAGGCAUGUGCACGCCUCUGGUCAUUAUUAAUUCCACCUGUGCAUGCUUGUAGACACUUGGGAAUGAGAGACUUUAACCAGCCCCUUGAGAAAUUGAACUUUCCAAUCUCUGGGUGUCUAUGCCAUUUUUAAAACACCAGUUGCAUGUUUAUAGAAUGAUAUGAUUACCAUGUAAAAUACAACUUUCAACAACGGAUCUCUUGGCUCUCGCAUCGAUGAAGAACGCAGCGAAAUGCGAUAAGUAAUGUGAAUUGCAGAAUUCAGUGAAUCAUCAAAUCUUUGAACGCACCUUGCGCUCCUUGGCAUUCUGAGGAGCAUGCCUGUUUGAGUGUCAUUAAUAUCUCAAGACCUGUCUGCUUUUGAUAGGUUUCGGAUUUAUGGGGGUUGCAGGCUGUUUCAAAUAGCUUGCUCUCCUUGAAUGUAUUAUUAGUGGAGGGAAGAAAAAGUCAUUAAACUCCAUUGGUGUGAUAAAAUGGUAUCAAUGCCAGGAGCAAUGAACAACAGUUCUCUCAGCUAACUGUCUGUAGUAAAACAUGGACAACUUGACCAACUUGACCUCAAAUCAGGUAGGACUACCCGCUGAACUUAA